This 253-nucleotide ribosomal RNA is filed under the name uncultured bacterium. RNAcentral describes it as "partial 16S ribosomal RNA". It matches the Rfam family "Bacterial small subunit ribosomal RNA", at positions 524 to 776 of the family's 1533-position model. The record is from RNAcentral.
UACAGAGGUCUCAAGCGUUGUUCGGAUUCAUUGGGCGUAAAGGGUGCGUAGGCGGCGCGGUAAGUCGGGUGUGGAAUCUCGGAGCUUAACUCCGAAACUGCAUUCGAUACUGCCGUGCUUGAGGACUGGAGAGGAGACUGGAAUUUACGGUGUAGCGGUGAAAUGCGUAGAUAUCGUAAGGAAGACCAGUGGCGAAGGCGGGUCUCUGGACAGUUCCUGACGCUGAGGCACGAAGGUCAGGGGAGCAAACAGG